GACCUUGUGGUGCAACGGUAGCGUGUCUAACUCCAGAUCAGAAGGCUGUGUGUUCAAAUCACGUUGAGGUCA
This 72-nucleotide transfer RNA is filed under the name Scleropages formosus (Asian bonytongue). It matches the Rfam family "tRNA". From Rfam's summary of the family: Transfer RNA (tRNA) molecules are approximately 80 nucleotides in length. Their secondary structure includes four short double-helical elements and three loops (D, anti-codon, and T loops). Lineage: Eukaryota; Metazoa; Chordata; Actinopteri; Osteoglossiformes; Osteoglossidae. The record is from Rfam by way of RNAcentral.